RNAcentral lists this unclassified non-coding RNA (26 nucleotides) under Mus musculus (house mouse). RNAcentral's name for it is "oocyte_clustered_small_RNA11409". The record is from RNAcentral. Lineage: Eukaryota; Metazoa; Chordata; Mammalia; Rodentia; Muridae.
UUGGGAGGGGAUCCCACGUGAUGCCA